UGCAUACAUCAAGGCCAGAAGCUGUAAACAAUUGCCUGCACAAUCUUUCUCAUUUGGACUGAAAACAUCACUUUUUCCAGAAUCUGGCAUCUAAGGCAAAGGGAAGAGAAUGAUCUGUAAAAAAAGAUAAACAUCAAAAGAAGAAAUUUUAAAAAAUGUUUCAUGUAUUCCAAGCGAACACACUCUUUUCUGAACUCUGGGGUUCAAGUAGGAGGCCUGUUUUGAAGAACCUAAAUGAUUAGGCAUAUUCAAAAAAAUGCCAAAUCAAUAUUCAAAUCAUUUCCAUCCCAGGAAAUGAAAAAGAAAAAUCCAACAGGAUGUAAUCACAAGGCACAUAUCAGUGCUGUCAAAAGGAACUGCUUUCAAUGUCACAAGGGAAGAUGGUGAAGCUUGAUCAUCAGUGAUGAGACAGAAAAGCUGGAAGCUAGAAUGAGGAAAACACAGCAAGAGAAAAGUCAGACAGAAAAAGAGAGAGACGCUUAAUGAAAGUAUGAAAUGUAAAGGAUGAACAUUUUGGCAAGUCAGAGACCUGAAGUGAAGCAUCAGGGCAAAGGAAGCAAAAGUGAUCAAAUGGAUCAUUUAACAAAGAAGCCAAGGAAAAGUGCGGGAUGCUGUGGGAAGCAGAGAGAUUGAAACUGAAAUUAGAGAGGAAAGUUGAAAUGUAGUGAGAUGAUUGGCACUGAUAGGACAUGGCAGCAGCUGUAAAGAAGAGAAGAGACUUCCUGCAAGUGCUGAAAAUGAAAGGAGAAUUGAGAGGGUCUGCAGGGAAUGAUGAAGGGAGUGUCCUGGUACCAACAAACUGAUCUGGUCUACGUGCUCUACAGCUACAACAGGAUUGCUAGGAGAUUGGCUUUGUGUCAUCACGGCUUUGUCUGUGUGCACAAUCAGUCAUUGGAAAGUUGGUUCAGCUCAUGUGUUCAGUCAGAUAAGUAUGCCUUUGCUGCCACUGAUGCUUCUACAGGAUAGUGAAAUCAUAAACCUAUCAUUUGAGAUGAGGACUUGAGAAAUACAGUUUUAUUGCCUUUCAGGUACUUCAGCUCCAAGUGAUCCCAUUAAUUUCUUUGGACUAAAACACACAGCACGUCUUAAAGCAGUUUUAUUUGAUUGGGUAGUCUCUUGAGCAGGGGGCCCUGGAAUAGAUAUAGGUCAGAUACUUCAGUUAAAUUAGCAAAGCUCCAUUGCGCUAUUGCACUAGUCAGACACAUUGAAGCUACUGAUGAUUUAUGAACUCUAAUGAACCAAGCCUUUAAUAAAGUUCUGCUGUGGUACUUCA
This 1273-nucleotide long non-coding RNA is filed under the name Cyanistes caeruleus (blue tit). Its description in RNAcentral is "lncRNA (ENSCCEG00000003497.1)". The record is from RNAcentral. Lineage: Eukaryota; Metazoa; Chordata; Aves; Passeriformes; Paridae.